Molecule: RNA transcript, 748 nt
Organism: Tribolium castaneum (red flour beetle)
Lineage: Eukaryota; Metazoa; Arthropoda; Insecta; Coleoptera; Tenebrionidae
Exons: 4
Source: RefSeq, a predicted model, not a curated record
CUCACGUGAAGGAAGUUGGUUUGUUAAUUUCAAGUAAAACUGAGCCAUCAUGCAUUAUUGCCAAGUGUGUUUUAUUGUGCUUCAGCUUCUCGUCUCAGUCUUCGGCUGGUCUAUGGACCGCUACGACAAUCGGGUUUUGCGAAGCCCUGUUACCGUUCUCCGACACAGAAGAACCCAAAUGGAAGUUAGAACAAACCAAUGUAUGUUUAAUAUUUGCGAAGAAGUUCCUUUAUACCCCGAAGACAAAAUACGUGCGAUGAUUGAAGAAAAUCAGUCUCUACAUUCUUACUUCGGAAGCAGCGUUAUAGAACCUUCAAGCUUUGACUCGGGUAUUUCGAUCGUAUCAAGGAACAAUGCGGUAAUGGAACCUUUUUGUAAAACUAGGGAUGUAUCGUCUACGCCGAAAUUAAUGAUGGACGUUGAUCAUGUUGAACGAUCGAUUGCUAACACAAACAAGUACAAACAAGUCAUAAAAUAUCAAAUCUGCGAUUUUGAAGAGGGAGAGAGCUGUUUUCCGGGAUCUAUCCUCAAUUUGAAGACCAGAUGUUUGCAAAAGUUCAACGUCAUUAAGCUCAUGACCGCAAAUUUGGACUCUAACACUUUGGAGUAUCGAAAGUUUGAAAUACCCAGUACUUGUGUUUGCACCUACACUAAGGAAGCCUAACAAUUUUUGCCAUUUUUUUAUUUUUGUAAAAUAAUAUCUUACUGAAUGUAUUUGUACCCCAAAUAAUAAAAUAAUCAAAUAGUA